CAGGCUCCGGACGCGCAGGCUCAGCGGCCACGGCUCACGGGCCCAGCCGCUCCGCGGCAUGUGGGAUCUUCCCGGACCGGGGCGCGAACCCGCGUCCCCUGCAUCGGCAGGCGGACUCUCAACCACUGCGCCACCAGGGAAGCCCUGAUGCCUUUUUUCAAGAGGAACGGAAUAUUUCUAGAUCACAGGGACAUAUAAUGGAAUUUUCCUUUCUUUAUCCACUUUGAUGACUCCAGUAUUGGAUAUUAUUAAAGAUCUGAGCAGAUUACUCUGGCCACAGAGGCCAAAUUUAUAAGAACUUCCAUAACCAUUUGUCUUCGAGCCUACAGUAAAGGAAGAGAUUAUAGAAGUGGAAUCCAUGUUUAUCUCCCCGUCCCCAUCAUUUCCAUUGGAAUUAAUUAUUUUUGAAUCUUUUUAGUGUAGUUUGAGAUAACUGGUUGAACGGUAACUCUAGGUACUCUUUCAGGCUCUGACCAAUCACCUGGAAUUUGAGGACUGAAGAAGAAAGACAUCUCUGGCAAAAGGAAGCUGUAAAUCGUAUUCCUUUUGGGUAUGUAAGUACCUCCUUCUUGAAGGUGACCAAGUCCCUCCCUCCAAGCGAGUAUCAAUGACAAAGUGUGGAAAUGGAGGGGAAAAGAAAGAAAUCCUCAACUCUGUGGUGGGAUUCUGUUCUUUUUGUUUGUUUGUUUUUUAAAUCCUACUGCGGUUGAAUAGAACGACCACCCCAGUCUGAGAUGCGGACGACAGUCAGACAUAUGACUGGGCUAAAGUAGCCAUAUUGUUGCAUUUGGGUCGUGAUCCUGACCCAGUGACUUUUCAUUUUAUUAAAGAGGACAGAUGUUCAAAAACUGGCAGCUGUAAUUAGACCCAGAUUUAUCAAAACGGUCCUCUUGCAGACUACACUAUGCCCGGUUUUCCGUCCUAAUGGGGAAAAAAGUGCAAUCACAAGACAAUCUGGCGUGGUGACUCCAACUGGCCAGUCAUACACGAGUCCAAACUGUUCUAGAAAUCCUGGCUCUGGUGAGACAGUAAGAGCCAAAACCCAAGAGAGGACGCGUACAAAGCUGGGCUGCAGAGAAUCCGCCUAUUAAGACAAUCACAGGCUCACUCACUGUACAAACUCCAAAGCCAGGAACGCCUUAGCGAUCCAAGCCCCGCGAUGGAUGCCCCAUCCACACCUACCGCAGCCUUGGCUAAGGGUCUACUUCGAAGGCAGGCCCUCCGCAAGCCCCCGGCUCUCCCUUCCCUUCCCGCCACUUCUGAAUUUAUAUAACAACUGCCUUCUUUUAAAAAAAAAUGGAAAAAAAACCCCUGUUUUCAUUUCCAAAUGUGGUGAACUCAUUUUGAUGAACAGCACAUCUGAACAUUCCUCACUCCCCUACAGUUUGUCAAAUAAUUUGCAUCAAGUCCUUUUUUCAACAGAUCUCUUGUAACUGCAGUAAAGCACUUUUUUCUUUUUUGGCAGAGUGAAAAGACAGACCCAUUGCCCGAUUUUUCUACCCCCGCCCCAAGGUGCAGCUGGACAAGCAUCUCGACUGCCUUUGUUUGAGACAACACAGUGGUCCUGCCUCUCCCCGACGUGGAAGUUCUGCUGGGACCAUCAUAACAGAUGCUGAGAACAAAAGGCAAACCUGUAACCCAGACACCGAGGGACCCAGCCGCUCAGUAUGGACUUUUCGGGCUCACUCGUUUUUCUGCUGUUGGUUCGACUGGCCGGAGCAGUAGCUAAAAACUAUUUCCAAACAGUCCUAAUUGCUACGGUCGGAGGAAACGAGAAUGCGUGCAAAGGAAAAUCUAAUACUGCCUUUUGCUUCAAAUAGCCAAGUUCCUGUGUUUUAUAACAUUUCCAUAAAGGAGACAGUACCUACACUGUAAUUACUUGCCCACCAGAUCUGAAGGAAUGUGGUUUCUCCAGCGUUGGGAGCUGUUCUCCGGUGGGCAGGAAUAUACCCUAAAGCAAAGCCUAGCUCUGACGUUCUCAGGACCACAGAAUACGACUUACGGUAUUUUCCUGACCUCAUGAUAGUGAACAAGUCUUUUUCAAAAAUCCUUAACAACUUAAUAAAGUAUUACUACAGACAUGCUUCUUGGUUGUUGUUGUUAUUAUUUUACCCUCUGAGUGAGGCCUCCCUCCAAGGACAAGCAUUCACCCCCAAGCAAUCCAUUUGGGUGUUUACCUUGAGAACAUUAACUGGUACUGAGCUUGGAACAAAAGAAUACCAUUCUCAUUAGGACAGUUUGCGGUCGCCUGAUUUUUCCCUUGUGCUUCUCUGAACACAGAAAAGAGACGCAUCUUUAAAAUCGCCAACAUACAAUACACGUGGCCAUUCUGCACGAAUGUCAAGUCCGCCUUUGCCCACUGUAUGUCCCCCAUCGCUAGAACGUACAGCUCUGUUCUGGUAAACUUUUCCAAGCAGGGGCCAGCCUUAAUAAAAUUCAAGGCUUCUAAGUAAAAUUAUGACAAACGAAAAGCUUAUUUCAGCCGCUGUUGGCCAUUCCUUUCCUUCCUCCACUCGGAUCUUCUUCACACCCUUUCCCAGUUCCCUUCCUCAGAGACACACAGACACACGCACCUACCCUUAACCCGAGAAGAGAGUCACGAAACUCGCUUCUUUCCACUUCUUCCUAUUCAUCUUUUAGGUUUCACCUUAGAGGUCACUUGUCCCAGAAGUCUUUCCUCAAGCCCACCGUCUAGGGCAGCGGUCCACACACUCACUCACCCAGAGCACGGCUCACGCAGGGAGAGCCUGGGAGUGUGUCUUUGGCAGUUGGUCCCACGAGACCCCAAACACCUCGAUGGCAGGGAUGGUUCUGUCUGGUUUUACUACCCUAUGUUUUCCGGUCACACGUCCAAUAAAUACUCAUUGACGCAAUAAUUCGAUUUUACAUUCAGGAAUUCUCUUCACGAAAACGGCGUGCACUGCAGUUUGAGUCCUGGGUAUAAUUACGAAAGGAAAGGUUUUUAUCGGUUUAAAAGAUUCUCAAGCAAGCAGGCGGAGAUGUUAUCGGAGGCACCUGCGGAGCAGGACCACCGUAAACCCCUAUUCAGUUCCUCUGCACGCUUUCCAGUGGGAGUCGCGCUCAGACCCGCGCCUAAAAACUUGGGAUUCUCCCGAGAUGAGCACAGCCUCUCAUUAGCCAAAUGGGAACAUGAGUGUUCCACAACAGCAUCCAGCGAACACGUCCACGGGCGGCUGUCAGAAUAAUCCAAGAAAGGUUUUGGCAGUGAAAUGGGAACUGCUUGGAUGGCUGGACACAGCAAAUGACACUUACCACCCAAAUGGCAUUUAGUGAGAAGCAACGUUUACAGCAAAGCAUUCUAUCACUUAGUGACUAAGGAUUUUAAAAUAAACACCAAGUUCCUUUUUAAACAGAAAUGGAAAAAAGAAAAAAGAAAAAAAAAAAAAAAAACAACCCACCACUUCACAAACUUCCUGGCGAGACUCUAACGUGAGAGUCCCCAGCUAAGGUUAGAUCUGAAUCCCAGGGACUGCUUCCUUCAAAUCACAGAGUCUAGAACGAUACGCAUCUGAACAUACACUGUGCGUUCUAUUAUUUCAGGUGGAAUACAUCAAUGACAGGCAAAAGGGAGUCUUUGGCACCUUAGAACCGAUCAUCAGAUAACUGUAUCCCUAAAGUUGAA
Non-coding RNA from Kogia breviceps (pygmy sperm whale), 3643 nucleotides. NCBI's taxonomy places the organism in Eukaryota, Metazoa, Chordata, Mammalia, Artiodactyla, Physeteridae. The record is from RefSeq and is a predicted model, not a curated record.